RNAcentral lists this ribosomal RNA (465 nucleotides) under uncultured bacterium. Its description in RNAcentral is "partial 16S ribosomal RNA". It matches the Rfam family "Bacterial small subunit ribosomal RNA", at positions 28 to 507 of the family's 1533-position model. The record is from RNAcentral.
GACGAACGCUGGCGGCGUGCUUAACACAUGCAAGUCGAACGGAAAGGCCCUGCUUGCAGGGUACUCGAGUGGCGAACGGGUGAGUAACACGUGGGUGAUCUGCCCUGCACUUCGGGAUAAGCCUGGGAAACUGGGUCUAAUUCCGGCUAGGAGCCAUUUUUAGUGUGAUGGUUGGAAAGUUUUUUCGGUGUAGGAUGAGCUCGCGGCCUAUCAGCUUGUUGGUGGGGUAAUGGCCUACCAAGGCGGCGACGGGUAGCCGGCCUGAGAGGGUGGACGGCCACAUUGGGACUGAGAUACGGCCCAGACUCCUACGGGAGGCAGCAGUGGGGAAUAUUGCACAAUGGGCGCAAGCCUGAUGCAGCGACGCCGCGUGGGGGAUGACGGCCUUCGGGUUGUAAACUCAUUUCGCUAGGGACGAAGCUUUUUGUGACGGUACCUAGAUAAGAAGCACCGGCUAACUACGUG